This is a long non-coding RNA of Corvus hawaiiensis (hawaiian crow), 349 nucleotides long. RefSeq lists it as uncharacterized. The transcript is spliced from 3 exons. Lineage: Eukaryota; Metazoa; Chordata; Aves; Passeriformes; Corvidae. The record is from RefSeq and is a predicted model, not a curated record.
UGAGAUGAGGCUGACUGGCCCAUAGUUCAUCAAAUUCCUCUUCUUGCCUUUCCCUUCCUGAAAAUGGGUGUGAGCCCUGACCUUCUUCAGUCAUCAGGAACAUCCCCAAUUCCCAUACCUUUCAAAGGCUUUAGACAGUAUCCAGCACCCUUCAGAACCCUCAGCAUGUAAAGAAAAACCAUUUCUUUUGAAGGAAGGGAAAUCAGAGGCUGUUCCCCAAAAGAAUCUAUCACACUGCCACCCUGAGAUUCAGGAGUGCCUUGUCGGCUCUUCAUUCAACAUUUGCAAACCCUUGCUCUAGCAUUCCUGGUACCAAUUCAGGGCCAAGGCCACGGUGGAAAGUCCUCCC